CGUGUAGGCGGACUCGCAAGUCGGUUGUGAAAUCCCUGGGCUUAACCUAGGAACUGCAUUCGAAACUGCUUGUCUUGAGUAAUGGAGAGGGUGGCGGAAUUCCCGGUGUAGAGGUGAAAUUCGUAGAUAUCGGGAGGAACAUCAGUGGCGAAGGCGGCCACCUGGACAUUUACUGACGCUGAGACGCGAAAGCGUGGGGAGCAAACAGGAUUAGAUACCCUGGUAGUCC
RNAcentral lists this ribosomal RNA (229 nucleotides) under uncultured bacterium. RNAcentral's name for it is "partial 16S ribosomal RNA". It matches the Rfam family "Bacterial small subunit ribosomal RNA", at positions 568 to 796 of the family's 1533-position model. The record is from RNAcentral.